This 496-nucleotide ribosomal RNA is filed under the name uncultured bacterium. Its description in RNAcentral is "partial 16S ribosomal RNA". It matches the Rfam family "Bacterial small subunit ribosomal RNA", at positions 29 to 507 of the family's 1533-position model. The record is from RNAcentral.
AUGCACGCUGGCGGCGUGCCUAAUACAUGCAAGUCGGGCGAACAGACGAGGAGCUUGCUCCUCUGACGUUAGCGGCGGACGGGUGAGUAACACGUGGAUAACCUACCUAUAAGACUGGGAUAACUUCGGGAAACCGGAGCUAAUACCGGAUAAUAUAUUGAACCGCAUGGUUCAAUAGUGAAAGACGGUUUUGCUGUCACUUAUAGAUGGAUCCGCGCCGCAUUAGCUAGUUGGUAAGGUAACGGCUUACCAAGGCAACGAUGCGUAGCCGACCUGAGAGGGUGAUCGGCCACACUGGAACUGAGACACGGUCCAGACUCCUACGGGAGGCAGCAGUAGGGAAUCUUCCGCAAUGGGCGAAAGCCUGACGGAGCAACGCCGCGUGAGUGAUGAAGGUCUUCGGAUCGUAAAACUCUGUUAUUAGGGAAGAACAAAUGUGUAAGUAACUAUGCACGUCUUGACGGUACCUAAUCAGAAAGCCACGGCUAACUACGUG